This 452-nucleotide ribosomal RNA is filed under the name uncultured marine bacterium. Its description in RNAcentral is "bacterial SSU rRNA". It matches the Rfam family "Bacterial small subunit ribosomal RNA", at positions 8 to 452 of the family's 1533-position model. The record is from RNAcentral.
AGAGUUUGAUCAUGGCUCAGGAUGAACGCUAGCGGCAGGCUUAACACAUGCAAGUCGAGGGGUAACAGGGAGAAGCUUGCUUUUCUGCUGACGACCGGCGCACGGGUGCGUAACGCGUAUACAAUCUGCCUUAUACAGAGGGAUAGCCUUUAGAAAUGAAGAUUAAUACCUCAUAGUCUAUUAAUAUAGCAUUAUAUAAAUAGUAAAGCUUCGGUGGUAUAAGAUGAGUAUGCGUCCUAUUAGUUAGUUGGUGAGGUAACGGCUUACCAAGACGACGAUAGGUAGGGGCCCUGAGAGGGGGAUCCCCCACACUGGUACUGAGACACGGACCAGACUCCUACGGGAGGCAGCAGUGAGGAAUAUUGGACAAUGGAGGCAACUCUGAUCCAGCCAUGCCGCGUGCAGGAAGACGGCCCUAUGGGUUGUAAACUGCUUUUAUAUAGGAAGAAACC